GAACAGUGUUGUGCUCGCACAUCGUCGGAGGAACGCUCUGAACAGCGACGUGUGUGUAUAUCGAGCUGGAGAGCAUGCUAGCUGAUGGCUAACACUGAAAUAGCGCCCUUGGAACGGCAGAAUGAGGGGCAGCAUCUUAUCACCAACCUAGAGGAAGCGAUCCACUGGCUGGAGAAACAUGGCCUCAUCAGGAGCUGUUAACCUUAUGUGAGGAACAUUUUUUCAUAAAGGAUGAAAGAAAUGGAAUCCACAGAGAAAGAGAAGCAAACGCACAGACAUGAAGGAAAUCUCUUGUGCUCGCUGUGUGCAGCACAGAGGCAGGCAGUGAUACCAUCAUGCUUACAGGGUUCACAUUUACACCUCUCUCGCCUUUUGACUGCUACAUUCCUGACCAUCCACAAUGAUUUUCCUCAGUAUCUCAGAGGGAAUAUACUUUACACUUAAUCUGUCAACACCACGCUAUUCACUGCAGGUUUUAUUACAGGGAUGAGGAGCAGGUUGGGUAGGUGUUUCCUCUGUGGUGACAUUUUCUCUGAGGACAACAGCGGCCGCAUUGUGCCGACAGCCUGACUUGUAUCCUUGUUGGGAGAUUCCUCAGCAUUCCUGAAAGCACCGUCGCUGUGACUGGGAGCUCUGUUUUCGGCACCCCUGAAGCCUCGACAAGCUCUAUAAGAGCGUCGGUGCACAGCUUCCAAAAUUCCACAGGUUGACAGAUCUGAAAGACCUCUUGGGAAUCAAGGUCAAAAGAUGAGGUGAACGCUGCAGCCAACAUGCCCCAACAGUCUUCUGCCUGCCAGCUACGAUCUCUGAACGUACUAGAGUUGGUCUUCACUUUCAGUUAUUAUAGCUCUUGGCAUGAAUCAUAACUGCAGUGCCAGUAACAAGAUUUUUCUUGCUUGGCUAUAGCUGUAGGCCACUAAAGGGAAUGCCAAAUAGCCAUUAUGAUAGGGAAAGAAACACUUAUAAUCUGUUGAUGAGUCAGUAAAGCAGGAAGAAUCAUCAGUCCUGGUGAUUCACUGCAUUCAAUGUUGAAU
Molecule: long non-coding RNA, 1034 nt
Organism: Amphiprion ocellaris (clown anemonefish)
Lineage: Eukaryota; Metazoa; Chordata; Actinopteri; Pomacentridae
Source: Ensembl